RNAcentral lists this ribosomal RNA (450 nucleotides) under uncultured bacterium. RNAcentral describes it as "partial 16S ribosomal RNA". It matches the Rfam family "Bacterial small subunit ribosomal RNA", at positions 354 to 796 of the family's 1533-position model. The record is from RNAcentral.
GUGGGGAAUCUUCCGCAAUGGACGAAAGUCUGACGGAGCAACGCCGCGUGAGUGAUGAAGGUCUUCGGAUUGUAAAGCUCUGUUAAUCGGGACGAAAGAGCCUAGUGUGAAUAAUGCUAGGAAGUGACGGUACCGGAAUAGAAAGCCACGGCUAACUACGUGCCAGCAGCCGCGGUAAUACGUAGGUGGCAAGCGUUGUCCGGAAUUAUUGGGCGUAAAGCGCGCGCAGGCGGAUCUGCCAGUCUGUCUUAAAAGUUCGGGGCUUAACCCCGUGAUGGGAUGGAAACUGCAGAUCUAGAGUAUCGGAGAGGAAAGUGGAAUUCCUAGUGUAGCGGUGAAAUGCGUAGAUAUUAGGAAGAACACCAGUGGCGAAGGCGACUUUCUGGACGAAAACUGACGCUGAGGCGCGAAAGCCAGGGGAGCGAACGGGAUUAGAUACCCUUGUAGUCC